AAAAUUAGUUAAUAUAAUAACACGGGCUUGUCAAGCCCGAAUAAUCAAACUCAUGAUAUUUUA
RNAcentral lists this transfer RNA (63 nucleotides) under Alpheus bellulus. RNAcentral describes it as "tRNA-Asp". The record is from RNAcentral. Lineage: Eukaryota; Metazoa; Arthropoda; Malacostraca; Decapoda; Alpheidae.